UCACAAGGUGCGAUUGAACACGGCUCCAGUGUCUAUGAUAUAUCUCCCAAGAUUUCUUUGUCUAACUGCAGAAUAAAAGCUAUUGGCUCUUCUCUCAAGUCAUGCUCUGAUUUAAUUUCUUUGAAGAUAAAUAAAGAGUGUCACAGCUUCGUCUCUUCUGCGACGUCAGGAGAUCAUUCAUCCGAUGGGUCUUCUCUCCAACAGGCUUCGUCUUCUCCCUCUCUCUUUUGUUUUCCAGAGAACUUGUUUAUCAUCUUACGUUAUCUCACCAAAUUUGUAUAUCUCUUGUGUUAGAACAGGAUCGACAGAUCAAGUUUGAAACAUGGGGAUCAUAUCUACUCCUUGAGGACUGCUUACAUCUAUGCCCAUCACGCUUACACAAACAAGAUACGUAAAGCUGUAUUUCUCUUCCAGUCAAGAAGAUAGACUAGCCAUGGAGAUGGUUGAAUGUCAUUUAAGAUGAAUGACUAACUGCGAUUGACUUUUAGGGAGAUGUAUUCAAAGUGGAA
This is a long non-coding RNA of Capsella rubella, 509 nucleotides long. RefSeq lists it as uncharacterized. The transcript is spliced from 4 exons. NCBI's taxonomy places the organism in Eukaryota, Viridiplantae, Streptophyta, Magnoliopsida, Brassicales, Brassicaceae. The record is from RefSeq and is a predicted model, not a curated record.